GAUGAACGCUGGCGGCGUGCCUAAUACAUGCAAGUCGAGCGAACAGAUAAGGAGCUUGCUCCUUUGACGUUAGCGGCGGACGGGUGAGUAACACGUGGGUAACCUACCUAUAAGACUGGAAUAACUCCGGGAAACCGGGGCUAAUGCCGGAUAACAUUUAGAACCGCAUGGUUCUAAAGUGAAAGAUGGUUUUGCUAUCACUUAUAGAUGGACCCGCGCCGUAUUAGCUAGUUGGUAAGGUAACGGCUUACCAAGGCAACGAUACGUAGCCGACCUGAGAGGGUGAUCGGCCACUGGAACUGAGACACGGUCCAGACUCCUACGGGAGGCAGCAGUAGGGAAUCUUCCGCAAUGGGCGAAAGCCUGACGGAGCAACGCCGCGUGAGUGAUGAAGGUCUUCGGAUCGUAAAACUCUGUUAUUAGGGAAGAACAAAUGUGUAAGUAACUGUGCACGUCUUGACGGUACCUAAUCAGAAAGCCACGGCUAACUACGUG
This 495-nucleotide ribosomal RNA is filed under the name uncultured bacterium. RNAcentral describes it as "partial 16S ribosomal RNA". It matches the Rfam family "Bacterial small subunit ribosomal RNA", at positions 28 to 507 of the family's 1533-position model. The record is from RNAcentral.